UGAGGAAUAUUGGUCAAUGGACGCAAGUCUGAACCAGCCAAGUAGCGUGCAGGAUGACGGCCCUAUGGGUUGUAAACUGCUUUUAUAUGGGGAUAAAGUGCGUGACGUGUCAUGCAUUGCAGGUACCACAUGAAUAAGGACCGGCUAAUUCCCUGCCAGCAGCCGCAGUAAUACGGAAGGUCCGGGCGUUAUCCGGAUUUAUUGGGUUUAAAGGGAGCGUAGGCUGUCUAUUAAGCGUGUUGUGAAAUAUACCGGCUCAACCGGUGGCUUGCAGCGCGAACUGGUCGACUUGAGUAUGCAGGAAGUAGGCGGAAUUCAUGGUGUAGCGGUGAAAUGCUUAGAUAUCAUGACGAACUCCGAUUGCGCAGGCAGCUUACUGUAGCAUAACUGACGCUGAUGCUCGAAAGUGCGGGUAUCAAACAGG
Molecule: ribosomal RNA, 424 nt
Filed under: Verrucomicrobiota bacterium
Lineage: Bacteria; Pseudomonadati; Verrucomicrobiota
Description: Verrucomicrobia bacterium partial 16S ribosomal RNA
Rfam family: Bacterial small subunit ribosomal RNA
Source: RNAcentral